Molecule: ribosomal RNA, 301 nt
Filed under: uncultured bacterium
Lineage: Bacteria
Description: partial 16S ribosomal RNA
Rfam family: Bacterial small subunit ribosomal RNA
Source: RNAcentral
CAGUCGCCGCGGGAAUACAGAGGGUGCAAGCGUUAAUCGGAAUUACUGGGCGUAAAGCGCGCGUAGGUGGUUUGUUAAGUUGGAUGUGAAAUCCCUGAGCUUAACUUAGGAAUUGCAUUCGAUACUGGGAAGCUAGAGUAUGGGAGAGGAUGGUAGAAUUCCAGGUGUAGCGGUGAAAUGCGUAGAUAUAGGAAGGAACAUCAGUGGCGAAGGCGACCACCUGGACUGAUACUGACACUGAGGUGCGAAAGCGUGGGGAGCAAACAGGAUUAGAUACCCCUGCAGUCCCUGUCUCUUAUAC